UGCAGUACGAGUAUGCCUCUAAGGGGAU
RNAcentral lists this non-coding RNA (28 nucleotides) under Mus musculus (house mouse). The record is from RNAcentral. Lineage: Eukaryota; Metazoa; Chordata; Mammalia; Rodentia; Muridae.